GGGGCCUCCCACAUGUGGGAUUUCUAAUCAAGCUUACUUCUCACACUAGUUUUGUUCCUCUUAGGUCAGGAUUACGAUUAUGAUGCCCAUGUUUACAACCAAGGAGAUGCAGGGUCAGUGCCCAGCAUCCACAGUCACAAAGCUCAUCCAUGGCAGAGGCUGAGAUGGCAGCGCAGGCGUGUCCAGCUCCAGGUCCACGUCCUCUGUUCACCACUACUUGGGGGCAGGGAGGGGGCCUGACACUGCCUUGGCUCUGUGCCUGGUCUCCUCCAUCUGGCUGGUUGACCUGGGACCCAUGCCAGCUCACCCCAUCAGGCCCAGCACUAGCAAUCUUGUCCUAAGAGCCCAGUGAAGGGCCAAGGAGGGAAGAAUGGACAUUUGCAGGCCCGAGAGAACAGAUGGUCACACGGGCCCACGCCAGGUGCACAGUGCAGCUGUCACCAUCAGCCUGGACUGAGGUGGAACCAAGAAGGGCAGAGAAGCAACUGAGGCCAGCAGAGGGGUGCAUGUGGGAGCACGUGCUGUAGGCCAGCGCCCUCACGCAGAAGAGCUCAGCAGGUCACAUCUCCUUUCAGGCAGGGAUGAUGGAUCCCUCCUUGAGAACAAGGCCCAGGGGCUCAGAAAACAUGCCUGAGGUCUCAGGCUAAAGGGUGGCAGAACUGGAGGUGAGCCAGGCCCUGGCUCCAAGGAGGUCCAGGGUGCUUCAUAGGUAGGAACUGCCCCCAGCCUCACCCCUCUGCUCUGUGGACCACAAUAGAGGGUGGUUGCCUCUGUCAGAUGCCUCAGAAGGCUGUCCCGUGAUGCUCAGCACACCUUUCAAAGAACAGAAACAGACUGCCUUUUGCUGAAGCUGCCAGACUGGUGGGCUCACUGCCCUCAGACCUGCUGGCUUGACCCAUCCUAUGCCGCUCUCUUUCCCCAGCCCUUACUCUGCAGCCCUUACACUACUGCUCCAGUUCCUCCUCUUCUCCCUGCCCCUUCUCCUCCAGGAAGCCUUCCCAGAUAGCCUCAUCCUACACCUACUCUUUUUCCUGGGAACACCAGUGGCACCCACUGCUUGUAUUAUUUAUGACCAGCCUUAUACUAGAAUCCCAACUCAUCUGGCUUGCUGGACUAUCAAGCACAGCUAUUUCAAACACCAUCCCACUGAAGAGCGCUUCUGGAGCAUGCACGCCUCUGUGAGCAGCCCAGAUGAAGAUGAGCUUUCGAAAUAGCCUGUUUUGUGGUUAGACCGUGUUUCACGUUAGAAUGCUCUUCCUGGCUGGCACUUGUAAGUGCUGCUCAGGAGUCCAUCCGGCAGGGAAGCACAGGCUGUCUCCUGUCACUGCACUUUGAGCACCUGCAGACAGUUACCUUGACCCUGAAGACAACUAUCUGCCAUGACAGUGUGGGAAGCCACGUCCAAUAUACUCUGUGGCUCUAUAAUUCUGGCCAGUUGCUUCUCUCCUCAACUCUUAUCCCCCUGCACGCCACCAUGCCUCUUCUGUAGGAGGUGGUGGCUUUAUUAUUUUGCUCAUUAAUCACUUGUUGGUCACUUAUUUAGAGAAGGUAUAGCUUAGAGAGAUGGACAUAUCCUCUGUGCCUAGCAGGCAUUUCGGCACAGGCCCUGCUACCCAGCUGCCGAGCAACUCCACACCAACCGCUCCCUCUCUGAGCUCGAGUCCUCAUCUCCAAAUGCGGGUAACAUAUGCUAAGUGGGCCCGAACUGCCUUGGCGUCUUCUUGUUUCCUCUGACCCAUCUGUGUUUUGGCCUUUCUUCUGGAUCUGCCCGGUUUCCCAGGCCCGUCAAUAAAGCAGCUCCCCUUUCCCUGAGCAUUGCUGCAGGGCGGGCACAGUGCUGAGUGCUUGUGAUGAAGAUUCUAGUCCAUCCCCGCCUCCCCCUCUACAGCAGGUACGGCUGUGGCUGGCAUCUAAUACUGGGAAUGCACAAGUAGAGCAGAGUGUUCUGUAUGCCAGGCCUGUGCACCUUUUCAUGGUCUUAUAGACUAGCCAGCUCCCUGAGGGUAGGGACACAGUGGCUGCUCCACA
Long non-coding RNA from Talpa occidentalis (Iberian mole), 2028 nucleotides. RefSeq lists it as uncharacterized. Lineage: Eukaryota; Metazoa; Chordata; Mammalia; Eulipotyphla; Talpidae. The record is from RefSeq and is a predicted model, not a curated record. The transcript has 3 exons.